AAUAAAAAUCUCCUGCAAGCAGGACUCGACAAGUUUGGCAUACAAAAUUGAUUUGUUUCAAAAUAAGCUUUAUCAGUUUCAUAGUAUUCUUUGACAAUUUGUAGGAAAGGUUCAAUAGUAUUUCUUUUAUAUAAACAACCUAGAACUCUUGAGUUGCAGAUCCUCUGUUUAAUUGAGAAAGGAUCUUGGGGGUUAUGGCCCAAAUGUUGCAUUGGAUUGUUAAAAUAUGUAGCAUUUUUUCUGAAAGUACAUAAUUUGUAUAUUUUAUGUGAUCAGUGACUCUCUUAUUUUUUUCAGUAUAUUUUUGGAGAUUUUAGCCCUGAUGAAUUCAAUCAAUUCUUUGUGACUCCUCGAUCUUCAGUUGAGCUUCCUCCAUACAGUGGAACAGUUCUGUGUGGCACACAGGCUGUGGAUAAACUACCCGAUGGACAAGAAUAUCAGAGAAUUGAGUUUGGUGUCGGUGAAGUCAUUGAACCCAGUGACACUUCGCCGAGAACCCCCAGCUACAGUAUUUCAAGCACACUGAACCCUCAGGCCCCUGAAUUUAUUCUCGGUUGUACAGCUUCCAAAAUAAC
RNAcentral lists this small RNA (575 nucleotides) under Pan troglodytes (chimpanzee). RNAcentral's name for it is "retained intron". The record is from RNAcentral. Lineage: Eukaryota; Metazoa; Chordata; Mammalia; Primates; Hominidae.